AUUGGACGCUGGCGGCAGGCCUAACACAUGCAAGUCGAAUGGUAACAGGAAACAGCUUGCUGUUUCGCUGACGAGUGGCGGACGGGUGAGUAAUGUCUGGGAAACUGCCUGAUGGAGGGGGAUAACUACUGGAAACGGUAGCUAAUACCGCAUAACGUCGCAAGACCAAAGAGGGGGACCUUCGGGCCUCUUGCCAUCAGAUGUGCCCAGAUGGGAUUAGCUAGUAGGUGGGGUAACGGCUCACCUAGGCGACGAUCCCUAGCUGGUCUGAGAGGAUGACCAGCCACACUGGAACUGAGACACGGUCCAGACUCCUACGGGAGGCAGCAGUGGGGAAUAUUGCACAAUGGGCGCAAGCCUGAUGCAGCCAUGCCGCGUGUAUGAAGAAGGCCUUCGGGUUGUAAAGUACUUUCAGCGGGGAGGAAGGGAGUAAAGUUAAUACCUUGGCUCAUUGACGUUACCCGCAGAAGAAGCACCGGCUAACUCCGUG
This 490-nucleotide ribosomal RNA is filed under the name uncultured bacterium. RNAcentral's name for it is "partial 16S ribosomal RNA". It matches the Rfam family "Bacterial small subunit ribosomal RNA", at positions 30 to 507 of the family's 1533-position model. The record is from RNAcentral.